UUCCGGUUGAUCCUGCCGGACCUGACUGCUAUCGGAUUGAUACUAAGCCAUGCGAGUCUUUGUAGUAAUACAAGGCAUACGGCUCAGUAACGCGUAGUCAACCUACCCUAUGGACAAGAAUAAUCUCGGGAAACUGAGCAUAAUUCUUGAUAGAUCAUAAUGCCUGGAAUGGUUUAUGGUUAAAAUGAUUCGUCGCCAUAGGAUGGGACUGCGGCCUAUCAGCUUGUUGGUGAGGUAAUGGCCCACCAAGGCGAUUACAGGUACGGGCUCUGAGAGGAGAAGCCCGGAGAUGGGUACUGAGACACGGACCCAGGCCCUAUGGGGCGCAGCAGGCGAGAAAACUUUGCAAUGUGCGAAAGCACGACAAGGUUAAUCCGAGUGAUUUCUGCUAAAGAAACCUUUUGCCAGUCAUAAAACCACUGGUGAAUAAGGGGUGGGCAAGUUCUGGUGUCAGCCGCCGCGGUAAAACCAGCACCUCAAGUGGUCAGGAUGAUUAUUGGGCCUAAAGCAUCCGUAGCCGGCUUUGUUAGUUUUCGGUUAAAUCCAUGUGCUCAACGCAUGGGCUGCCGAAAAUACUGCAUGGCUAGGGAGUGGGAGAGGUAGACGGUACUCAGUAGGAAGGGGUAAAAUCCUUUGAUCUAUUGAUGACCACCUGUGGCGAAGGCGGUCUACCAGAACACGUUCGACGGUGAGGGAUGAAAGCUGGGGGAGCAAACCGGAUUAGAUACCCGGGUAGUCCCAGCUGUAAACGAUGCAGACUCGAUGAUGCAUUGGCAUAAUAGCCAGUGCAGUGUCGCAGGGAAGCCGUUAAGUCUGCCGCCUGGGAAGUACGUACGCAAGUAUGAAACUUAAAGGAAUUGGCGGGGGAGCACCACAAGGGGUGAAGCCUGCGGUUCAAUUGGAUUCAACGCCGGG
RNAcentral lists this ribosomal RNA (915 nucleotides) under uncultured marine archaeon. Its description in RNAcentral is "bacterial SSU rRNA". It matches the Rfam family "Archaeal small subunit ribosomal RNA", at positions 1 to 922 of the family's 1478-position model. The record is from RNAcentral.